This is a non-coding RNA of Dallia pectoralis (Alaska blackfish), 71 nucleotides long. The record is from the annotation of a GenBank genome assembly. NCBI's taxonomy places the organism in Eukaryota, Metazoa, Chordata, Actinopteri, Esociformes, Umbridae.
CGAACGGUGGUACAGUGGGUAGUGCCGUCGCCUACCGAGCCGUCAGCAGUGGUUCGAUUCCACCCGCAUGA